CGUAGCUGCCUUGUGGUUCCAGCUUCCCGCCGCUUUGGGUUCCUUCGCCUGUUCACCACUUUCAAUGUUUGGUUUCUUAGGCAGCUUCAUCUGAUUCCCCAGACCCCCCGUCCUGUGAACAGGGGCCUGUUCCAAGGUGUGAAUUUUCAGUAAAUCUUGUCUGGAGACAUCCUUCAUGGCCAAGCAGGAGCACCUGUGGAAUGACCAGCCACAUAUCUUGUGAGUUGUCAGAAAGCAGCAGGCAGCAUGGUAACCUGUCAUCUUGCAUUUGUCUCCCAACUUUUGCUAUCACGUCUCCCUUUCCCUCACUCUCACCUGGGAUUGACCUGGUUGCCUUGACCUCUGCUUACUGGAGUCUCUGAAUGUAAGGAGUUUAUAGUAAGCUUUAGGAGGACAAGGCCUACCUCUACAUUAAAUAAAACUAUCAAUAGCUAUUUGACAAAUACCAAAUGAAUAGGUUAUAGCAGGGCACAAAUCUGAGUCCCAGCCUGAAUAUUAUUAAGUAUGUAUGCAUUUUCCAUGUCUUGCUUUCCUCAUAUAUAAAAUGGAGAUGUGACACGUGUGUAGCACUUUCAAACAUUAAUAGUGAGAAUAAAAAAUUGGUACAGCCUCCAGGGAAGAAAAUUUGAUGAUAUGUGUAAAAAUUUCAUGUGCUUUUACUCUGAUUCUGCAGAUAAAUCUUGAAAUUUAUUCUAUAGAUACUCUUGCUGUGUGUAAAGUCCAUUCACUGAAACACUGUUUAUAGCAGAUUAAGAACAGCAGGUAUAUCCACACAAUGGAAUACUCUGCCACUGAAAAAAACAGACGCUGAGAGAACUGCCAUGGAAAAGUACUCGAGAUCCUGCCAUUUUCAACACCCUGGAUGGACCUUGAGGGCAUUAUGCUAACUGAAAUAAAUCAGACAGAGAAAGACAAA
Manis pentadactyla (Chinese pangolin) is the source of this 916-nucleotide long non-coding RNA. RefSeq lists it as uncharacterized. The transcript has 2 exons. NCBI's taxonomy places the organism in Eukaryota, Metazoa, Chordata, Mammalia, Pholidota, Manidae. The record is from RefSeq and is a predicted model, not a curated record.